UACGUAGGGUCCGAGCGUUAAUCGGAAUUACUGGGCGUAAAGCGUGCGCAGGCGGUUUUGUAAGCCAGAUGUGAAAGCCCCGGGCUCAACUUGGGAAUGGCAUUUGGGACUGCAAGGCUGGAGUACGGCAGAGGGAGGUGGAAUUCCACGUGUAGCAGUGAAAUGCGUAGAGAUGUGGAGGAACACCGAUGGCGAAGGCAGCCUCCUGGGCUAGUACUGACGCUCAUGCACGAAAGCGUGGGGAGCAAACAGG
This 253-nucleotide ribosomal RNA is filed under the name uncultured bacterium. Its description in RNAcentral is "partial 16S ribosomal RNA". It matches the Rfam family "Bacterial small subunit ribosomal RNA", at positions 524 to 776 of the family's 1533-position model. The record is from RNAcentral.